CGUGAGGGAAAGGUGAAAAGAACCCCGAGAGGGGAGUGAAAUAGAACCUGAAACCAUUGGUUUACAAUCCGUUAAAGAGUCGGAUAAGAAUUUAUUCUUAUCUCUCAAUAGCGUGCCUUUUGAAGAAUGAGCCAGCGAGUUACCGUUUGUGGCAAGGUUAACCCGAGAGGGGAAGCCGAAGCGAAAGCGAGUCUGAAUAGGGCGUACUAGUCGCAGGCGGUAGACCCGAAGCCGGGUGAUCUAUCCAUGAGCAGGGUGAAGCGGAGGUAAGACUUCGUGGAGGCCCGAACCCACCCUAGUUGAAAAUAGGGGGGAUGACUUGUGGAUAGGGGUGAAAGGCCAAUCAAACUCGGUGAUAGCUGGUUCUCCCCGAAAUGCAUUUAGGUGCAGCGUCGUGAGUUCAGUAUCGGAGGUAGAGCUACUGGAUGGUUUAGGGGGCCUACAAGCUUACCAACAUCAGCCAAACUCCGAAUGCCGAUACUCCAGAUCACGGCAGUGAGACUAUGGGGGCUAAGCUUCAUAGUCGAGAGGGAAACAGCCCAGAGCGCCAACUAAGGUCCCAAAUUUAUACUCAGUGGUAAACGAUGUGGGAAUGCCUAGACAGCCAGGAGGUUGGCUUAGAAGCAGCCAUCCUUGAAAGAGUGCGUAAUAGCUCACUGGUCGAGUGUUCCUGCGCGGACAAUGUAACGGGGCUCAAGUAUAAAACCGAAGUUGCGUCAUUAGGAUAAUUUAUUAUUACUGAUGGGUAGGGGAGCGUCGAGUUCGACUGUGAAGCCAGAUGAUAACGUCUGGUGGAGUGGACUCGAGUGAGAAUGCUGGCAUGAGUAGCGAACGAAGGGGGAGGAACCCUUCCUCCGAAUAUCCAAGGGUUCCUGGGCAAGGCUCAUCCGCCCAGGGUUAGUCGGGAGCUAAGGCGAGGCCGAAAGGCGUAGUCGAUGCACAACUGGUUGAUAUUCCAGUACCACCAUAUUCGCGCCCAGCCUAAGCUAAUUUGCUAAGUGGCUGUUAAUUUAUUAACGAAACGACCCAAUUAGUGCAUGGUAAUUGUAGGGGGACGCAGGAAGGUAGAUCUGACAGGUGAUGGUUAUCCUGGAAGUAAGUAAGUAGGGAGUGUGAUAGGAAAAUCCGUUGCACAUUAAUCCUGAGAUACGACACGUAGCCGAUUUAGGCGAUUUGAUUGAUCCUAUGCUGCCUAGAAAAGCCUAGCAAUGAGUUAAUAUGGUGCCCGUACCCCAAACCGACACAGGUAGAUAAGUAGAGAAUACUAAGGAGAGCGAGAUAACUCCGGUUAAGGAACUCGGCAAAAUGCCCCCGUAACUUCGGGAUAAGGGGGGCCUCAGUAAAGUGAUUGUCUUCGCGACAUGAGCUUGAGGAGGCCGCAGUGACUAGAGCCAAGCGACUGUUUACCAAAAACACAGGUGCAUGCGAAGCCGUAAGGCGAUGUAUAUGCACUGACGCCUGCCCAAUGCUGGAAGGUCACGGAGAGAGGUUAGCGCUUGUCGCGAAGCUUCGAACUUAAGCCCCAGUGAAUGGCGGCCGUAACUAUAACGGUCCUAAGGUAGCGAAAUUCCUUGUCGGGUAAGUUCCGACCUGCACGAAUGGCGUAACGACUUGGCUACUGUCUCAACCGGAGACUCGGCGAAAUUGCAAUACGAGUAAAGAUGCUCGUUUCCCGCACCAGGACGGUAAGACCCCGUGCACCUUUACUGCAACUUGAUGUUGGGUUUGGGUAUGAACUGUGUAGGAUAGCUGGGAGACUGCGAAGCAGAGGCGUCAGCUUUUGUGGAGUCAACCUUGAAAUACCAGCCUGUUCAUAUCGGAACCUCUCACCACAGGCCCUAGAUCGGGUCUUGGGACAGCGUCAGGUGGGUAGUUUGACUGGGGCGGUCGCCUCCUAAAGAGUAACGGAGGCGU
RNAcentral lists this ribosomal RNA (1914 nucleotides) under activated sludge metagenome. RNAcentral describes it as "bacterial LSU rRNA". It matches the Rfam family "Bacterial large subunit ribosomal RNA", at positions 502 to 2309 of the family's 2925-position model. The record is from RNAcentral.